AUUGAACGCUGGCGGCAGGCCUAACACAUGCAAGUCGAGCGGAUGAAGGGAGCCUGCUCCUGGAUUCAGCGGCGGACGGGUGAGUAAUGCCUAGGAAUCUGCCUGGUAGUGGGGGAUAACGUCCGGAAACGGGCGCUAAUACCGCAUACGUCCUGAGGGAGAAAGUGGGGGAUCUUCGGACCUCACGCUAUCAGAUGAGCCUAGGUCGGAUUAGCUAGUUGGUGGGGUAAAGGCCUACCAAGGCGACGAUCCGUAACUGGUCUGAGAGGAUGAUCAGUCACACUGGAACUGAGACACGGUCCAGACUCCUACGGGAGGCAGCAGUGGGGAAUAUUGGACAAUGGGCGAAAGCCUGAUCCAGCCAUGCCGCGUGUGUGAAGAAGGUCUUCGGAUUGUAAAGCACUUUAAGUUGGGAGGAAGGGCAGUAAGUUAAUACCUUGCUGUUCUGACGUUACCAACAGAAUAAGCACCGGCUAACUUCGUG
RNAcentral lists this ribosomal RNA (484 nucleotides) under uncultured bacterium. RNAcentral describes it as "partial 16S ribosomal RNA". It matches the Rfam family "Bacterial small subunit ribosomal RNA", at positions 30 to 507 of the family's 1533-position model. The record is from RNAcentral.